This is a long non-coding RNA of Bubalus bubalis (water buffalo), 1656 nucleotides long. RefSeq lists it as uncharacterized. The record is from RefSeq and is a predicted model, not a curated record. Lineage: Eukaryota; Metazoa; Chordata; Mammalia; Artiodactyla; Bovidae. The transcript has 2 exons.
UUCGGUAUUCUUGCUGGGAAAAUCCCAUGGACAGAGGAGCCGGAGCGCUACAGUCUGUGGGGCUGGAGGUAAAUAUCUCCCACCUCUGAACUCCCACAACAUUUAUCUGUUAUGCUUUGUAUUCUGGCAUUUGUGUGAAGUUGAAUCACCUUUAAGAGACUGAAUUCCUUGAGCAGAAGGAACAUGCCUCUCAUCUUUCAUCCCUGCUGCCUAACACAAUGCCUAGCACGUUGCAGGUGUCAUUAAGUGUUGUGUUUUAGAAUAAUGAUAGAAGGCUGAAUUACUAUUAGAUAAAUCAUUCUAGCCUUUGGCUAUCUGUUCUGGACAUACUUUAGUGAAUGAGAAUGUCUACCCGGAAGAAACUAGUAAACUGGAGAUAUCAAGAAAGAAUAUUUGACCACAUUUUGGAAGCAGGCAAUUUCUGACACUGUGUGAAAAACAAACAAUUUUAGUCACUAGUACUGGCAACUCACCUGCCAAGAAUUCACAGAAGUUUGCAGAUUGCUCAGACCUGAAUGGCUUUUUAAGGCCAUUCCAAGGGAUUUAUGGAAAGUUCAUCAGUGUGACUGGGAAAUGUAUGAAGAGGGGAAGGGGCAAAAUUUAUACAAAGCAUAUUCCUGUCUUAAGAGAAUUUAAGUGUUGUUAGGAAAAUAAGGCUUAUACAUUUUGAACAAUAAGAGUAAACAGUAAAUCAGGAUCCAAAUUGAGGCCAAGAAGAGGGAGAGUCAAAAUGGAAGGCCUGAGAUUGGGCUUGGUAGGCAUUAGUGAAAAAAGAAUAAAAAUCUCUGUCACAAGACCCUGAAGUCUCAGUUGAUGUAUGUAACUUGGAUCUAAGCCUCACUUUUCUCACCUGCACAAAGGGGUUAAUAUACAUACCCUGGUAACUUGCAAGGUUAACUCAUAAGUCAAAUGAGGUCCUCUAUGUAAAUGCAUUUUGGUAGAUGUGAAAAUGCUGGACAUGUGGUUAAUAUGGAUACACCUUGAAGGGUGGAUUUUUCCAUUAAGUGUCCCAUAGGUAUGAAUAGCUUCAUGAAGAGCUAUGAAGUAUGUAGGUAAAAAGUGACAUGGGAGAGUGAAAAUCCUGGCCUAAUUAUAACAUUCUAUACAGUGAAAACUAAAAAAAUGUAUACUCAUUUGAUAAAUCUGGCAACUCUACCCAGGCUCACUCAUUUCUGCUGCCAAAGUUCAGCUCACAUGUCAAGGAUCAAAUCACAUUUUUUCCCCAGAGUUUUCUGUUUCUCCUGGCUAGGAGAUCUUUCUCUUCACAAGAUUGAGGGAUUGGGGAGGAAGCUGUAUCCUUUAGUGUUUAAGACCUUAGACCCUGAGGUCGGAUGUCCAAGAUUUAUAGUGCAUCUCUCUUGUUAACCAUUUGUGUGAUCUAGGAUUUUAAGCUAUCUCUCUGGGCUCCAAUUUCUUCUUCUAUAUUAUGUAGGAAAAGUACUUAUGCUAUGGGAUUGUUUCGAAGAUGUGAUAAACUCAGUAGUGCUUGGCAUGUUUUCCUUCAUAGUCUCUAUCCUUCCAUCCACCACAUUUUUUAGUACACACUAUAUGAAAUGUACCCAAUAUACAGAAAUGAAAAGACAUGAACUUGAUCCUCAAGGAACUUACAAUCUAGGAUUGCAUAGAAGCUGAUAAGAUUAAAAAUAAAACCAAGUU